ACUCCCCUGUGCUGUUUGUGAUUGACGGGUACAUUUCGAACCAAUAUUGUAUGCAAGGGGGCCUUCCCUGACUGUGGCCGGCACGUCCCCGCGCGGGAAAACCGAAUGCAGUUACCAAGGCGUCCACCUGUGAAAACAGGUUCAAAUUGCCGUCGACACGGCCGUUACGGGGGAGUA
RNAcentral lists this non-coding RNA (177 nucleotides) under Deltaproteobacteria bacterium RIFCSPLOWO2_02_FULL_53_8. RNAcentral describes it as "6S RNA". It matches the Rfam family "6S / SsrS RNA". Rfam says of the family: E. coli 6S RNA was the first non coding RNA to be sequenced, but its function was unknown until recently. It consists of 184 nucleotides that fold into an extended hairpin structure with a large single-stranded internal bulge. The 6S RNA specifically associates with RNA polymerase holoenzyme containing the sigma70 specificity factor. Lineage: Bacteria; Deltaproteobacteria. The record is from RNAcentral.